GAGGAAGAUCUCCAGUGAAGAGGAAGCUAUCAUGGCUGAGGUCCACCGCUACCGUGAUGACCAACGGUAAUGGGGGAGCCCUGUUCCUGUCCCCCAACAUGGUCACUCGCCCUGACUGUCAGUCUUUCAAAAAUUCUCUCAGGUCCUAGUCUGUCCUACAUCUUCUCUUUGGUGGAACUUCAGCAAUGACCUCCACACACUCUUUCCUUACCUCACUAAGACUGCCUGUACUCUUCUUGUAGUGGGCCUUCUCUCACAAUUUUUCCAGGCUGUUCUCAGCACUUUUCUUUUUCCCCUCACCAUGCAAUACCUCAGUAUGCUCUGAGGGCCCCAAAUCCAUUCCCAUGACCUCUAUACCCAAAAAAAGUUUAACCUCUCCCUACACAGCAGGCAAACUCUCUCACUCCAGGGUGAGAGAAUGCUGAAUCACAGUUUCAUUCCUACAAUUAAAAACAGUCUUACCUUUCCUUUAUACCAAUCUUGCCAUUCUUACCUCUCACCUUUGUCCACUCUCUAACCUUUCUCUCUUUUCCUGUACAGGUGUUUCUGUUUUCCUGUUAACAGCUGUGACAGCUUCAAACUUUGCCAGGCCAUUUCCCUGGAGACGAAGGGUGAAUGUGUGUGCAUCCACUCCAAACUGGACAUGACAUCUGAGGCAGUGAAAUGCCUGCAGCAGGCCCUGAAGCCUCUGGCAAGUGAGAUCUCACUGCACUGGGACCUUCCACCAGGCCUGGAGGUGACAAUGAUUAGAAAAGCUCCCAAGUCGAUCUUCCAGGGACAUCAGAGCAUCAUCUAUGCCCAGAUCCAUGGACAAGCACAGGUGAGAGAUCAGAUCCAGAAGCAAGGCUUUCUGGAAGGUAUAGGAAACACUCCCAGUUUCAUGUUCUCAACACAGGGAGUCGUUCACCUCUACUAGACCUGGGAAAGACCAGUGUUAUGUCUCUGUGAACCCUGUUUUUUCCCUCCGAGAUACCACUGCCUCUGCUCCAACUACGGACAUCUAUCUACUACUUUAGCAGAGCAGAGAUGGAAGCUAAGUGGCCAGCCUCCCUGUGCUUUGCAGAUAAACUUUUCUGUCUGAUUCUUUCCCUUGUGUCCCCAGGAUCCAGAGGCAGAUGUGGCAGCUGUGACCCUAAAGUACCUUGUAGACAGUCAGUCCUUCGCUUACACACUCAGGUUCUCACUGCUCCCAUCAGCAGAUGACAGGUGAGAGGAUAACAUAAUGGCCCACAAAGACAAAGGGAUAUUAUCAAGGUCUCAAGGAGGGACAACAGGUGUCCUUUGCUUGCAUACCUUGAGAUGGGAAGACAAUAUAGGUUUCCAGUGCUCCCAACUUAUCUCCUCUGCCUUGACAUGGGGAGAGGAUUUGGGUGACCAUUGCCCCACUGCCCCCUCAUCUUUACUCCUGCUGCUACUCCACAGCAGCCUUGGUUGAGGGAAACACUGUUGACGUAGUCUACCUAGACUUCAGCGAGGCCUUUGACAUGGUCUCCCACAAUAUUCUCCUGGAGA
RNAcentral lists this long non-coding RNA (1512 nucleotides) under Anas platyrhynchos platyrhynchos (common mallard). RNAcentral's name for it is "lncRNA (ENSAPLG00000025443.1)". The record is from RNAcentral. Lineage: Eukaryota; Metazoa; Chordata; Aves; Anseriformes; Anatidae.